GACGAACGCUGGCGGCGUGCCUAAUACAUGCAAGUAGAACGCUGAAGGAGGAGCUUGCUUCUCUGGAUGAGUUGCGAACGGGUGAGUAACGCGUAGGUAACCUGCCUGGUAGCGGGGGAUAACUAUUGGAAACGAUAGCUAAUACCGCAUAAUAGUAGAUGUUGCAUGACAUUUGCUUAAAAGGUGCAAUUGCAUCACUACCAGAUGGACCUGCGUUGUAUUAGCUAGUUGGUGAGGUAACGGCUCACCAAGGCGACGAUACAUAGCCGACCUGAGAGGGUGAUCGGCCACACUGGGACUGAGACGCGGCCCAGACUCCUACGGGAGGCAGCAGUAGGGAAUCUUCGGCAAUGGACGGAAGUCUGACCGAGCAACGCCGCGUGAGUGAAGAAGGUUUUCGGAUCGUAAAGCUCUGUUGUAAGAGAAGAACGAGUGUGAGAGUGGAAAGUUCACACUGUGACGGUAUCUUACCAGAAAGGGACGGCUAACUACGUG
This 495-nucleotide ribosomal RNA is filed under the name uncultured bacterium. Its description in RNAcentral is "partial 16S ribosomal RNA". It matches the Rfam family "Bacterial small subunit ribosomal RNA", at positions 28 to 507 of the family's 1533-position model. The record is from RNAcentral.